This 301-nucleotide ribosomal RNA is filed under the name uncultured bacterium. RNAcentral describes it as "partial 16S ribosomal RNA". It matches the Rfam family "Bacterial small subunit ribosomal RNA", at positions 509 to 809 of the family's 1533-position model. The record is from RNAcentral.
CAGCAGCCACGGGAAUACGAAGGGUGCAAGCGUUAAUCGGAAUUACUGGGCGUAAAGCGUGCGUAGGCGGUUUGUUAAGUCUGCUGUGAAAUCCCCGGGCUCAACCUGGGAAUGGCAGUGGAUACUGGCAAGCUAGAGUGUGUCAGAGGAUGGUGGAAUUCCCGGUGUAGCGGUGAAAUGCGUAGAGAUCGGGAGGAACAUCAGUGGCGAAGGCGGCCAUCUGGGACAACACCGGCGCUGAGGCACGAAAGCGUGGGGAGCAAACAGGAUUAGAUACCCCCGUAGUCCCUGUCUCUUAUAA